This 363-nucleotide ribosomal RNA is filed under the name Triticum aestivum (bread wheat). RNAcentral describes it as "partial small subunit ribosomal RNA". Lineage: Eukaryota; Viridiplantae; Streptophyta; Magnoliopsida; Poales; Poaceae. The record is from RNAcentral.
AUGUUGACACAAUUUUUUACUAUUUUUCGAAAUACAUUCCAUCUUAUUUCCUUUAUAUUAUUUGCCAGUACUUUUAGUGUAGAGCACUUGAUCAUUUUGGUUCUCACUUCUCAGUACUUUCUAAGAUUUCUAGUUUUCUUCUUUUCUCAUCCCCUCUAUUGCUCAAUAUUACCAUGGCACAUGUUUUUGACAAAAUUUUACCACUGCCUUUGCUGCUCCGUUAUAUUUGUCAUUCUGUGGUGUACUAUCGAAUGCCAUCUUGUCUGUGCAUACUGUCUUCCAGGAAAGAUAACUAUUCUGUUGCAUCUUCUAUAUGAACACUGCUCUGUCAUUUGUCAACUGCUUGUCUGUUGCACUCGAUAA